This 668-nucleotide ribosomal RNA is filed under the name uncultured fungus. Its description in RNAcentral is "eukaryotic LSU rRNA". It matches the Rfam family "Eukaryotic large subunit ribosomal RNA", at positions 24 to 664 of the family's 3401-position model. Lineage: Eukaryota; Fungi. The record is from RNAcentral.
CCCGCUGAACUUAAGCAUAUCAAUAAGCGGAGGAAAAGAAACUAACAAGGAUUCCCCUAGUAACUGCGAGUGAAGCGGGAAAAGCUCAAAUUUAAAAUCUGGUGGUCUUUGGCCAUCCGAGUUGUAAUUUAGAGAAGCGUCUUCCGCGCUGGACCAUGCACAAGUCUCCUGGAAUGGAGCGUCAUAGAGGGUGAGAAUCCCGUCUUUGGCAUGGACACACCAGGGCUUCUGUGAUGCGCUCUCGAAGAGUCGAGUUGUUUGGGAAUGCAGCUCAAAAUGGGUGGUGAACUCCAUCUAAAGCUAAAUAUUGGCGAGAGACCGAUAGCGAACAAGUACCGUGAGGGAAAGAUGAAAAGCACUUUGGAAAGAGAGUGAAACAGUACGUGAAAUUGUUGAAAGGGAAACGCUUGAAGUCAGUCGCGUCGGCCGAGACUCAGCCUUGCCUCGGCUUGGUGUAUUUCUUGGCCCGACGGGUCAGCAUCAAUUUUGCCCCUUGGAUAAUGGCUAGGGAAAUGUGACACCUUUAUAGGUGUGUUAUAGUCUCUCGUCGCAUGCAAGGGUCAGGAUUGGGGAACUCAGCAUGCACCUUCGGGUGUCGGGGCUUUUAUCCACGAUACAUGCUUAGGAUGUUGGCGUAAUGGCUUUAAACGACCCGUCUUGAAACACGG